Molecule: non-coding RNA, 204 nt
Organism: Pelobates cultripes (western spadefoot toad)
Lineage: Eukaryota; Metazoa; Chordata; Amphibia; Anura; Pelobatidae
Source: the annotation of a GenBank genome assembly
AACAAUUCUAACUAGAGGAAGUUCCAAAAAAGCCAACUUAUUAUUGCUGCAUUUAUGAUCAUAACAAAAAGGUAUUAAAUGUGUUCACACUUUGACAAACUCUAAAGCAGAACACCGACUUGGAUAAUUGGACACUUCAAAAAAGGACAACAGUAGUCUCAAAAAACCCAAAAUUAAUGGAACACCACGGAAACCAAAUCUUAC